This 265-nucleotide ribosomal RNA is filed under the name uncultured bacterium. RNAcentral's name for it is "partial 16S ribosomal RNA". It matches the Rfam family "Bacterial small subunit ribosomal RNA", at positions 793 to 1055 of the family's 1533-position model. The record is from RNAcentral.
GUCCACGCUGUAAACGAUGAGCACUAGGUGUAGCGGGUAUUGACCCCUGCUGUGCCGCAGCUAACGCAUUAAGUGCUCCGCCUGGGGAUUACGGUCGCAAGACUAAAACUCAAAGGAAUUGACGGGGGCCCGCACAAGCGGUGGAGCAUGUGGUUUAAUUCGACGCAACGCGAAGAACCUUACCUGGGUUUGACAUCCCCGGCCCGCCUUGGAAACAGGGUUUUCCCCUUCGGGGGACCGGAGACAGGUGCUGCAUGGCUGUCGU